Molecule: ribosomal RNA, 537 nt
Filed under: uncultured Glomeromycotina
Lineage: Eukaryota; Fungi; Glomeromycota
Description: SSU rRNA
Rfam family: Eukaryotic small subunit ribosomal RNA
Source: RNAcentral
AGCAGCCGCGGUAAUUCCAGCUCCAAUAGCGUAUAUUAAAGUUGUUGCAGUUAAAAGCUCGUAGUUGAAUUUCGGGAUCAGUACGCUGGUCGUGCCUUUGGUAUGUACUGGUGUCACUGAUUCCUCCCUUCUGAAGAACCGUUAUGCCAUUUAUUUGGUGUGGCGGGAAAUCAGGACUGUUACUUUGAAAAAAUUAGAGUGUUUAAAGCAGGCUCGCGCUUGAAUACAUUAGCAUGGAAUAAUGAAAUAGGACGUUUGAUUCUAUUUUGUUGGUUUCUAGGAUCGACGUAAUGAUUAAUAGGGAUAGUUGGGGGCAUUAGUAUUCAAUUGUCAGAGGUGAAAUUCUUGGAUUUAUUGAAGACUAACUACUGCGAAAGCAUUUGCCAAGGAUGUUUUCAUUAAUCAAGAACGAAAGUUAGGGGAUCGAAGACGAUCAGAUACCGUCGUAGUCUUAACCAUAAACUAUGCCGACUAGGGAUCGGAUGAUGUUAAUUUUUUAAUGACUCAUUCGGCGCCUUACGGGAAACCAAAGUGUUU